UACGGAGGGGGCAAGCGUUAUCCGGAUUUACUGGGUGUAAAGGGCGCGUAGACGGUAUGGUAAGUCAGAUGUGAAAGGCAGGGGCUCAACCCCUGGACUGCAUUUGAAACUAUCAAACUAGAGUGUCGGAGAGGUAAGUGGAAUUCCUAGUGUAGCGGUGAAAUGCGUAGAUAUUAGGAGGAACACCAGUGGCGAAGGCGGCUUACUGGACGAUCACUGACGUUGAGGCGCGAAAGCGUGGGGAGCAAACAGG
RNAcentral lists this ribosomal RNA (253 nucleotides) under uncultured prokaryote. Its description in RNAcentral is "partial 16S ribosomal RNA". It matches the Rfam family "Bacterial small subunit ribosomal RNA", at positions 524 to 776 of the family's 1533-position model. The record is from RNAcentral.